AAGGACCGAAGGGUGGGAGUUUCGCCCCCAUGGGCCGCAGGUCCUGAGGAUUAUAUCACACCGUCUUGAUUGCCAUUUUAUUCGUGAGAUCCGAUCAGCCCAGGUGAUCUAUGUAAGAAUUGGACUAAAUGUGGAAAUCCACUUCUGGAAAAUGUCUGACAGCCACUCUUUACCACUGUUGCCUGCAACAGAGCUGGUCACGCAUCGCAAGGGAUUAGGACCAAAAUUGAGGCAUCCAGCACCCCGUGUUUCCCACCUGGGUGGAAAAGCGGAGGGAAGCGCCAGGGCGGAACUGGCUGCUGUGUCUCAAGGACUCUAGGAGAAGCCUCGGUCCCCGGGGCGGCAAAGGGGACCCGAGUGAGGCUUGAGGACUUAGAAAUGACAAUGGCGCCAGGGAGCGUCCCAGAUACCGGCUUCCAAGCGGCUAAAGCGGCUGAGGCGCGAAGAAGAAGCAGCUGCCUCGCUUCAGAUAGACGGGCACUUGCUGUCCCCUGCCGAGCCUGGAACAGGCUGCUCGCUGGGACCACGGCCUCCUACUGCCUCCUCUCACCACCUUCAAGAGACACCAUCUCCUAAAGACUCAAAGGUGAAAAGCAAAACCUGAACGCGGCCAUGAGCCGCAUCCAGGAAAAGAAACACCUGCGACGGCUCUGCGCCUCCCCCCGCCCCAUUGCAUGCCUCCCUCCUGACACCCCUUCAAAGGCACACGGGGACACAGGUCCCCGCAGCCUCGUGGCCACUGCUUCUCAUCACGCUGGCUGCACAUCCCAGCCGCAGGAGCACCAAGUCAGACGGGGAAACAACCGCACGGCCCGGCCCUGCUGCUCAGGACAGGCUCAGCGCUGACAAGACUGGUGGUGGAGAGAAAUUGCCAAGAUGCUAAGAAACUUGAGAGGCCACCUCUGCAGCAGGACUGGGACGGGUGAGGGGAAAAGAACUUACUUUCAUUUUAUACUUUUUCCAUG
This 965-nucleotide long non-coding RNA is filed under the name Sus scrofa (pig). RNAcentral's name for it is "lncRNA (ENSSSCG00030018060.1)". Lineage: Eukaryota; Metazoa; Chordata; Mammalia; Artiodactyla; Suidae. The record is from RNAcentral.